This 253-nucleotide ribosomal RNA is filed under the name uncultured bacterium. RNAcentral's name for it is "partial 16S ribosomal RNA". It matches the Rfam family "Bacterial small subunit ribosomal RNA", at positions 524 to 776 of the family's 1533-position model. The record is from RNAcentral.
UACGUAGGCAGCGAGCGUUGUUCGGAGUUACUGGGCGUAAAGCGUGCGUAGGCGGUGGCCCAAGUCUGGUGUGAAAUCUCCCGGCUUAACCGGGAGGGUGCGCCGGAAACUGGGCUGCUCGAGUGCCGGAGAGGCAGGCGGAAUUCCUGGUGUAGCGGUGAAAUGCGUAGAUAUCAGGAGGAACACCCGUGGUGUAGACGGCCUGCUGGACGGCAACUGACGCUGAGGCACGAAAGCGUGGGGAGCAAACAGG